This 57-nucleotide transfer RNA is filed under the name Trichuris sp. KE396. RNAcentral's name for it is "tRNA-Cys". Lineage: Eukaryota; Metazoa; Nematoda; Enoplea; Trichinellida; Trichuridae. The record is from RNAcentral.
AAGAAAUUAAUAUAAGUACAAGUAUAUAAAAUUGCAAGUUUUAAGGUAAUUUUCUUU